RNAcentral lists this ribosomal RNA (465 nucleotides) under Vreelandella stevensii. RNAcentral's name for it is "partial 16S ribosomal RNA". It matches the Rfam family "Bacterial small subunit ribosomal RNA", at positions 338 to 795 of the family's 1533-position model. Lineage: Bacteria; Pseudomonadati; Pseudomonadota; Gammaproteobacteria; Oceanospirillales; Halomonadaceae. The record is from RNAcentral.
CCUAGGGGGUGCAGCAGUGGGGAAUAUUGGACAAUGGGCGAAAGCCUGAUCCAGCCAUGCCGCGUGUGUGAAGAAGGCCUUCGGGUUGUAAAGCACUUUCAGUGGGGAAGAAAGCCUUGGGGCUAAUACCCUCGAGGAAGGACAUCACCCACAGAAGAAGCACCGGCUAACUCCGUGCCAGCAGCCGCGGUAAUACGGAGGGUGCGAGCGUUAAUCGGAAUUACUGGGCGUAAAGCGCGCGUAGGCGGUCUGAUAAGCCGGUUGUGAAAGCCCCGGGCUCAACCUGGGAACGGCAUCCGGAACUGUCAGGCUAGAGUGCAGGAGAGGAAGGUAGAAUUCCCGGUGUAGCGGUGAAAUGCGUAGAGAUCAGGAGGAAUACCAGUGGCGAAGGCGGCCUUCUGGACUGACACUGACGCUGAGGUGCGAAAGCGUGGGUAGCAAACAGGAUUAGAUACCCCGGUAGUC